Molecule: ribosomal RNA, 384 nt
Filed under: uncultured bacterium
Lineage: Bacteria
Description: bacterial SSU rRNA
Rfam family: Bacterial small subunit ribosomal RNA
Source: RNAcentral
AUUGAACGCUGGCGGCAUGCCUUACACAUGCAAGUCGAACGGCAGCGGACCUUCGGGUGCCGGCGAGUGGCGAACGGGUGAGUAAUAUAUCGGAACGUACCUUUCAGUGGGGGAUAACGUAGCGAAAGUUACGCUAAUACUGCAUAUUCUGUGAGCAGGAAAGCAGGGGAUCGCAAGACCUUGCGCUGAUUGAGCGGCCGAUAUCAGAUUAGCUAGUUGGUGAGGUAAAGGCUCACCAAGGCGAUGAUCUGUAGCGGGUCUGAGAGGAUGAUCCGCCACACUGGAACUGAGACACGGUCCAGACUCCUACGGGAGGCAGCAGUGGGGAAUUUUGGACAAUGGGCGCAAGCCUGAUCCAGCCAUGCCGCGUGAGUGAAGAAGGCC